Molecule: ribosomal RNA, 468 nt
Filed under: uncultured bacterium
Lineage: Bacteria
Description: partial 16S ribosomal RNA
Rfam family: Bacterial small subunit ribosomal RNA
Source: RNAcentral
GACGAACGCUGGCGGCGUGCUUAACACAUGCAAGUCGAACGGAAAGGCCCUGCUUUUGUGGGGUGCUCGAGUGGCGAACGGGUGAGUAACACGUGAGUAACCUGCCCUUGACUUUGGGAUAACUUCAGGAAACUGGGGCUAAUACCGGAUAGGAGCUCCUUCUGCAUGGGGGGGGUUGGAAAGUUUCGGCGGUUGGGGAUGGACUCGCGGCUUAUCAGCUUGUUGGUGGGGUAGUGGCUUACCAAGGCUUUGACGGGUAGCCGGCCUGAGAGGGUGACCGGCCACAUUGGGACUGAGAUACGGCCCAGACUCCUACGGGAGGCAGCAGUGGGGAAUAUUGCACAAUGGGCGGAAGCCUGAUGCAGCAACGCCGCGUGCGGGAUGACGGCCUUCGGGUUGUAAACCGCUUUCGCCUGUGACGAAGCGUGAGUGACGGUAAUGGGUAAAGAAGCACCGGCUAACUACGUG